Long non-coding RNA from Egretta garzetta (little egret), 488 nucleotides. RefSeq lists it as uncharacterized. NCBI's taxonomy places the organism in Eukaryota, Metazoa, Chordata, Aves, Pelecaniformes, Ardeidae. The record is from RefSeq and is a predicted model, not a curated record. The transcript is spliced from 3 exons.
CGUGUGAGCUCGGGGAGGUCCCCGAGGUGCUGGAGCGAGUGCGGAGCCCGAGCAGCCCCCGCGGCCUCCCGACCAACCGGGCCGACGAUGACGACAACUCCAGAAAUAACAGCAGCCCAACCCUGAAAUUAGGCUGUUGAGAAGAUUGAAGCACUUCCCUUUCCCUCCCUGGGUCAGCACCGGCGCACCCACCCGCACGGCAUCCGGCUUCUCCGGGAGCAGCCCCAGCCUGGACGGCGCAGCCAAGGUUGAUGGUCCCCUGGUCAGCGGCACCCUGGGGAGAAGAUGGCUCAGCCUGCACCCCUGAACCAGAACCUGCCAGAUCUCGGGGGGCCAUUCUUGUACCGGGACCAGGACGAUGGGGAGAAGAGCUCAUAUUCAGUGGAAACCCCCUACGGCUUCCUCCUGGACCUGGAUUUCCUGAAAUACGUUGAUGACAUCGAAAGCGGCCAGACGCUCAAGAAAGUGCCGCUGCCUCGCAGAGCAAG